CCUACGGGUGGCAGCAGUGAGGAAUAUUGGUCAAUGGGCGCGAGCCUGAACCAGCCAAGUCGCGUGAAGGAUGACGGCCUUACGGUUUGUAAACUUCUUUUAUAAGGGAAUAAAGUGAGGCACGUGUGCCUUUUUGCAUGUACUUUAUGAAUAAGAAUCGGCUAACGCCGUGCCAGCAGCCGCGGUAAUACGGAGGAUGCGAGCGUUAUCCGGAUUUAUUGGGUUUAAAGGGAGCGUAGGUGGGUUGUUAAGUCAGUUGUGAAAGUUUGUGGCUCAACCGUAAAAUUGCAAUUGAUACUGGCAGACUUGAGUAUAGUUGAGGUAGGUGGAAUUCGUGGUGUAGCGGUGAAAUGCUUAGAGAUCACGAAGAACUCCGAUUGCGAAGGCAGCCUACUAAGC
Molecule: ribosomal RNA, 399 nt
Filed under: uncultured bacterium
Lineage: Bacteria
Description: partial 16S ribosomal RNA
Rfam family: Bacterial small subunit ribosomal RNA
Source: RNAcentral